CAGACACACACAGAGCUCACCUCCAGCCUGGUGCGGUCUACAUCUCUGGGAAGCUUGACCUUGACUCUGUGGGUGACUGCAAGUAUUUCAUAGGGGUAGACCUGACACACACACAAACCCACACACACACACAC
Long non-coding RNA from Thalassophryne amazonica, 134 nucleotides. RefSeq lists it as uncharacterized. The transcript is spliced from 3 exons. The record is from RefSeq and is a predicted model, not a curated record. NCBI's taxonomy places the organism in Eukaryota, Metazoa, Chordata, Actinopteri, Batrachoidiformes, Batrachoididae.